GCGCUGGUGGUGUAGGGCGUAGCAUCGCUGCCCGGAAAGCACAAGGUGCGGGUUCGAGCCCCGCCUGGCGCA
Non-coding RNA from Heligmosomoides polygyrus, 72 nucleotides. The record is from Rfam. NCBI's taxonomy places the organism in Eukaryota, Metazoa, Nematoda, Chromadorea, Rhabditida, Heligmosomidae.